GGGGAUGUAGCUUAAAUGGUAGAGCGCCCGCUUUGCAUGCGGGACGCACGGGGUUCGAUCCCCCGCAUCUCCA
This 73-nucleotide transfer RNA is filed under the name Hordeum vulgare. RNAcentral's name for it is "tRNA-Ala". It matches the Rfam family "tRNA". Rfam says of the family: Transfer RNA (tRNA) molecules are approximately 80 nucleotides in length. The record is from RNAcentral. Lineage: Eukaryota; Viridiplantae; Streptophyta; Magnoliopsida; Poales; Poaceae.